CACGUAGGGGGCAAGCGUUGUCCGGAUUUAUUGGGCGUAAAGAGCUCGUAGGCGGCUCGGUAAGUUGGGCGUUAAACCCCCAGGCUUAACCUGGGGACGCCACCCGAUACUGCCGCGGCUAGAGUCCGGUAGGGGAGCGUGGAAUUCCUGGUGUAGCGGUGAAAUGCGCAGAUAUCAGGAGGAACACCAGCGGCGAAGGCGGGUCUCUGGGCAGUAACUGACGCUGAGGAGCGAAAGCGUGGGGAGCGAACAGG
This 254-nucleotide ribosomal RNA is filed under the name uncultured bacterium. Its description in RNAcentral is "partial 16S ribosomal RNA". It matches the Rfam family "Bacterial small subunit ribosomal RNA", at positions 524 to 776 of the family's 1533-position model. The record is from RNAcentral.